CCUACGGGUGGCAGCAGUGAGGAAUAUUGGUCAAUGGACGAGAGUCUGAACCAGCCAAGUAGCGUGAAGGAUGACUGCCCUAUGGGUUGUAAACUUCUUUUAUAAAGGAAUAAAACGAGGCACGUGUGCCUUUUUGCAUGUACUUUAUGAAUAAGGAUCGGCUAACUCCGUGCCAGCAGCCGCGGUAAUACGGAGGAUCCGAGCGUGAGCCGGAUUUAUUGGGUUUAAGGGGAGCGUAGAUGGGUUGGUAAGUCAGUUGUGAAAGUUUGGGGCUCAACCGUAAAAUUGCAAUUGAUACUGGCAGUCUUGAGUACAGUUGAGGUAGGUGGAAUGCGUGGUGGAGCGGUGAAAUGCUUAGAGAUCACGAAGAACCCCGGUGGCGAAGGCAGCUGACUAAACUGUGACUGACGUUGAGGCUCGAAAGUGUGGGGAUCAAACAGGAUUAGAUACCCUGGUAGUC
This 460-nucleotide ribosomal RNA is filed under the name uncultured bacterium. RNAcentral describes it as "partial 16S ribosomal RNA". It matches the Rfam family "Bacterial small subunit ribosomal RNA", at positions 338 to 795 of the family's 1533-position model. The record is from RNAcentral.